CCUACGGGCGGCAGCAGUAGGGAAUCUUCCACAAUGGGCGAAAGCCUGAUGGAGCAACGCCGCGUGGGUGAAGAAGGUCUUCGGAUCGUAAAACUCUGUUGUUAGAGCAGAAAGUGCGUGAGAGUAACUGUUCACGUUUCGACGGUAUCUAACCAGAAAGCCACGGCUAACUACGUGCCAGCAGCCGCGGUAAUACGUAGGUGGCAAGCGUUAUCCGGAUUUAUUGGGCGUAAAGGGAACGCAGGCGGUCUUUUAAGUCUGAUGUGAAAGCCUUCGGCUUAACCGGAGUAGUGCAUUGGAAACUGGGAGACUUGAGUGCAGAAGAGGAGAGUGGAACUCCAUGUGUAGCGGUGAAAUGCGUAGAUAUAUGGAAGAACACCAGUGGCGAAAGCGGCUCUCUGGUCUGUAACUGACGCUGAGGUUCGAAAGCGUGGGUAGCAAACAGGAUUAGAUACCCUUGUAGUC
RNAcentral lists this ribosomal RNA (465 nucleotides) under uncultured bacterium. RNAcentral describes it as "partial 16S ribosomal RNA". It matches the Rfam family "Bacterial small subunit ribosomal RNA", at positions 338 to 795 of the family's 1533-position model. The record is from RNAcentral.